CUCGGAAAUAGAUUUUUAUUGUUAUUUAUAAAGUGUAUUGUGUUUGUUUUUAUUUGUUUUUAUAUGAUUUGUCAGUGCAUUUGAUCAUUGGGUUUUUUCAUCCUGUUUGAUUUUUUACAAGACGUCAUAGAUCACACAUUUUUGCUAUUGCUACUUUCACUAUGACGACAUUAUCAAAGACAUGAUAUAUAACUAUGGAAUCGCGUGAUUGAUGUGCAGUGUCCAUUGAAUUCUUUGUUUAUCCUAGGAUGCUUUAUGUUUACCC
Molecule: long non-coding RNA, 265 nt
Filed under: Mytilus galloprovincialis (Mediterranean mussel)
Lineage: Eukaryota; Metazoa; Mollusca; Bivalvia; Mytilida; Mytilidae
Source: RNAcentral